RNAcentral lists this ribosomal RNA (253 nucleotides) under uncultured bacterium. RNAcentral's name for it is "partial 16S ribosomal RNA". It matches the Rfam family "Bacterial small subunit ribosomal RNA", at positions 524 to 776 of the family's 1533-position model. The record is from RNAcentral.
UACGAAGGGGGCUAGCGUUGUUCGGAAUUACUGGGCGUAAAGCGCGCGCAGGCGGUCUUCCAAGUCAGUGGUGAAAGCCCGGAGCUCAACUCCGGAACUGCCAUUGAAACUGUAAGACUUGAGGAUGAGAGAGGUGAGUGGAAUUCCCAGUGUAGAGGUGAAAUUCGUAGAUAUUGGGAAGAACACCGGUGGCGAAGGCAGCCAUCUGGACCGACACUGACGCUGAGGCGCGAAAGCGUGGGGAGCAAACAGG